CAUUGGGGCGUGGUCUCUCUCCCUUUAAAAAAGCGGCUAUUUCCUCUGCUCGCUCUCUUCACUUCCUGCUCCGCCGGAGACUAGACUCCCUUCCUGAUUGUGCAGAUGGCUGUUGUCUGGGACGGUAAUCUGACAGCUGUGAGCUCUCAGCUACUGCUCCAGUGCCUUGGCUCCCUGCCAUGAUGGUCAUGGACUCACCCUGUGAAACUGAUGGUCUUGCCUCCAAGUUCAAUGACUGAGCAGUGCUGGUGGAAACAUGGCGCG
Long non-coding RNA from Alexandromys fortis (reed vole), 264 nucleotides. RefSeq lists it as uncharacterized. NCBI's taxonomy places the organism in Eukaryota, Metazoa, Chordata, Mammalia, Rodentia, Cricetidae. The record is from RefSeq and is a predicted model, not a curated record. The transcript has 3 exons.